This is a long non-coding RNA of Suricata suricatta (meerkat), 179 nucleotides long. RefSeq lists it as uncharacterized. The record is from RefSeq and is a predicted model, not a curated record. The transcript has 3 exons. NCBI's taxonomy places the organism in Eukaryota, Metazoa, Chordata, Mammalia, Carnivora, Herpestidae.
GUUGCCCCAUAACCAAGAACAGAGGUUUGAAAAUAAAUUAGCCAACAAACAUACCACGAACUGUGCUAAGAAGGAAUAAGGACGUCACUGGGGCUGUUACUGGUAUGCUGCCGCUGGUCAAUAUGUUCAAACUUUGUGUUGUCAGAAGCAGCACAUGGAAUGAGAACUUUGGAGCUGGU